Molecule: long non-coding RNA, 1564 nt
Organism: Onychostoma macrolepis
Lineage: Eukaryota; Metazoa; Chordata; Actinopteri; Cypriniformes; Cyprinidae
Exons: 3
Source: RefSeq, a predicted model, not a curated record
AACAAAGCAUCGGCUCAUCACCAUAGUAACCACAACAACAUCGGCAGCACAAACAUCAGCGGGGGGGAAAAAACAGCUGCUGGAAAUAAGACACAAGUUUACGAACGUUCAAGGAAUACUUCAGCUGGAAAAUAAUAUCUCUUUAACCAACCAAAGCCAAAUAGCCAUAAUUUACCCUCCCAUGCCAUUACAACCCAUUAUUAUUAUUUAUUAUUAUUAUUAUUAUGUAUGCAAUAAUUUUAUAUGUAAAACAUCAGACAGCUGACGUUUGUACGUAAAUCGCGUCAAAAUCAAUCAAGUGACACUUCAAUGGCGUUUGACAUCAAUGACGUCCAAUUACAGCGGCGCGCCAUUUUUAAUCUUGACGUAAUAAUAUUUGAGCAACGUCUGAGGAGAAGAUUAUCAGCCAAUAACGACACAAAUUUUCUGUUCCUCACACAAAAACUAUCAUAUAACAUCAGAAUACUUAAAAUAUUAUAGUAUGGACUACUUAUUUGAAGUGUUUGUAAUGGCAUCCACCGUCACUGUAUGGACAAGAUCAAGAUGUAAGGUGACAUAACCUUACUGAAGUUCACUGAAGAAAGGAAAUAAGGUUGGAACGAUAUGAGGGUUUGCCAACCACAGGCCAGUGUCCUCACAUCCACAUUGUCGUCCCUUGAGCUGUCAGAUCUGGGCUGGCUGGUUUAGAAACAGGUCUGGAAGCAUGCAGCUGAAAUCUUCAGGAAUUGUAUGGAAAAGAGCAUCCUUGUUCCAUGGAAAGAAAGUAAGUCAUAUAAGUCUGGAACGAAAUGAGGGUGAGUAAUUUAUUCUUUUAAUUCAUUCUCUCAACCAAUGUUUUGACUGUACAGUACUGCAUCUGCUAUUUCAGUGAAAACAAAGCAACUGAAAUAGACGUGUAUGUGCAUGUCGAAAGCCACUAAAUAGCCAAUUAAAUGCAGAACCUGGGCUUGCAGAGGGUUUUAUUUGAUUUAUCUAUUUUUUUUAUUGCUUAGAGCUGCUGACUAUUCCAAUGACAAAGGGUUUUAAGAAAGCAGCACGAUACAGUAUGUGAUGCUACCACGAAAUGUCAUUGUUUCCAUUCAGCUGAUUUUGACUGAAGCUGGGCUGAUGCUGCGAGGUCAUUAUAUUUUUCCAUGGCUCUAUAAGGCAAGAUUAAUCAUCAUAACAAGUUGUGGUUAACACUUCAGAAGCUGAGCUGCUGUUUUAUUCAAAUUCCUGUUUAAACAAAUAGAUGUGAGAGGGCAGAGGUGGGACGUGCUGUCAGAUGGCAGACGUGCAUGCUCGCAGACACGCACACAUCUAGUGGGUUUGGCUUUCAGGGUGUGUAUGAGUCAGCGAGAGCGUAUUACUUCCCCAGUAAUAGGAAUUAGGUUUAGGUAGAAAGAAAGAGUGUUUGUGAGUGUGUGAUAUAGUGUAAAAGGGAAAGAGAGAGGCAGAGAGAUGCAAACUUUUUUCAAAUUAACGAGAACUGUGGAUACUGAGAGGGACCAGUAAUGGAAGUAAAAAAACAAAAAAACAAACAAAAAUAAUAAUACCAAUAGACUGUGCUUGACCUCCCAGGGCG